GACAGAGGGUGCAAACGUUGUUCGGAAUUACUGGGCGUAAAGCGCGUGUAGGCGGCUCUGCAGGUCAGGUGUGAAAUCCCACGGCUCAACCAUGGAAGUGCACUUGAAACUGCAGGGCUAGAGUCCUGGAGAGGAAGGUGGAAUGCUUGGUGUAGAGGUGAAAUUCGUAGAUAUCAAGCGGAACACCGGUGGCGAAGGCGGCCUUCUGGACAGUGACUGACGCUGAGACGCGAAAGCGUGGGGAGCAAACAGG
This 253-nucleotide ribosomal RNA is filed under the name uncultured bacterium. Its description in RNAcentral is "partial 16S ribosomal RNA". It matches the Rfam family "Bacterial small subunit ribosomal RNA", at positions 524 to 776 of the family's 1533-position model. The record is from RNAcentral.